Thalassophryne amazonica is the source of this 119-nucleotide long non-coding RNA. RefSeq lists it as uncharacterized. The transcript is spliced from 3 exons. NCBI's taxonomy places the organism in Eukaryota, Metazoa, Chordata, Actinopteri, Batrachoidiformes, Batrachoididae. The record is from RefSeq and is a predicted model, not a curated record.
UCACUUAAUUUCUGGUCACUACUAAUUUCUGGAAAAGUUAAGUCCAUUUGUCAGAGUUGUGGUUAUCAUAUUUUCUUUUUGUGAUCAUGUCAAAAGGGUUCAAACAUCAUUUCAAACAU